CAGCAGCCACGGUAAUACGUAGGGUGCGAGCGUUAAUCGGAAUUACUGGGCGUAAAGCGUGCGCAGGCGGUGAGUUAAGUCUGCUGUGAAAUCCCCGGGCUCAACCUGGGAAUGGCAGUGGAUACUGGCUCGCUAGAGUGUGUCAGAGGAUGGUGGAAUUCCCGGUGUAGCGGUGAAAUGCGUAGAGAUCGGGAGGAACAUCAGUGGCGAAGGCGGCCAUCUGGGACAACACUGACGCUGAGGCACGAAAGCGUGGGGAGCAAACAGGAUUAGAUACCCCCGUAGUCCCUGUCUCUUAUAU
RNAcentral lists this ribosomal RNA (301 nucleotides) under uncultured bacterium. RNAcentral's name for it is "partial 16S ribosomal RNA". It matches the Rfam family "Bacterial small subunit ribosomal RNA", at positions 509 to 809 of the family's 1533-position model. The record is from RNAcentral.